Non-coding RNA from Macaca mulatta (Rhesus monkey), 1967 nucleotides. Lineage: Eukaryota; Metazoa; Chordata; Mammalia; Primates; Cercopithecidae. The record is from RefSeq and is a predicted model, not a curated record.
GGUUUCCUUUGGCGUGCGACUGUGCGCUCAAUCCAGCACCAUGGGGAAGAGGGACAAUCGGGUGGCCUAUAUGAACCCAAUAGCAAUGGCGAGAUCAAGGGGUCCAGUGCAGUCUUCAGGGCCAACAAUACAAGAUUAUCUGAAUCGACCAAGGCCUACCUGGGAAGAAGUAAAAGAGCAACUAGAAAAGAAAAAGAAAGGCUCCAAGGCUUUGGCUGAAUUUGAAGAAAAAAUGAAUGAGGAACUGGAAGAAAGAACUGGAAAAACACAGGGAGAAAUUAUUAAGUGGAAGUGAGAGCUCAUCCAAAAAAAGACAGAGAAAGAAAAAAGAAAAGAAGAAAUCUGGUAGGUAUUCAUCUUCUUCUUCAUCAAGCUCUGAUUCUUCCAGCAGUUCUUCUGAUUCCAAAGAUGAGGAUAAGAAACAAGGAAAACGGAGAAAGAAAAAGAAGAACCGUUCACAUAAAUCUUCUGAAAGCUCCAUGUCAGAAACUGAAUCAGACAGUAAGGAUAGUUUAAAAAAGAAAAAGAAGUCAAAAUAUGGAACUGAGAAAGAAAAGGAUAUUAAAGGACUCAGUAAAAAGAGAAAGAUGUAUUCUGAAGAUAAACCUUUAUCAUCUGAGUCCUUGUCAGAAUCAGAGUAUAUUGAGGAGGUGAGAGCAAAAAAGAAGAAAAGCAGUGAAGAACGAGAAAAAGCAACAGAAAAAACGAAAAAGAAAAAGAAGCAUAAGAAACACAGUAAGAAGAAGAAAAAGAAGGCUGCUAGUUCAAGUCCUGACUCACCAUAACAUUAAGAAAAAUCAGGAUUCCCUUCUAAAGAAAGUGCAAUGUCUGAGGAAAUUUCAACUGUGAAAACUACAACAUAUUUACUAAAAUGCAUGAAUUUUCUUGUUUUUAGAAUUAUUCCUGGACUAUUCAGUAGCCACUCAGAUGCCACUGUGUGAAAGGGCCAUAAAUGUUGCCUGCUGCUUGAACAUCUUUUUUUUUUUCUUCCAGUGCUUGAUAACUCUGGGAGAUAAGACACUGCAGUCAUACUAGUGGUUAAGAUAUUUGGGAAUAAAAUUAAUACUUUUGACUAGAAGUGUCUAAGGAUAAACCAACAGAAAUUGAAUCUGGAUGUAUCUUUAAGAUGUAAUCAGAAAUGACCAGAUGACUCUAGUUAAAAUUUUUGAAGGAGGGAUUACAUUAAUAUUUUAAAACCCUUACUCUGUAGAUAAGUGUAUCUUAAUUUUUUCCCCUUGUAUACUUUUAUUUACCUGGGGAAGGAGCUUUUAGGGUUGGGGGGGGUGGUUUGCUAUCUCUUUAGCUAGCAGAAUAGUGUGCCUUUGAUCCUCACACAUCCUAUAUUCUGGACACAGUAGCCAUGCUUCACAGGGAGGUCAGAGCUGGCUACCAGCAGUCUUGCCCUUUACUGAGCUUAGUGUCAUCCUUGGAUGCUGUCAUAUGCUGCUUUCAGUGAACCAGAGAAACAGCCAUUUGCAGCAUGAGAAAGCCCCAAAAGCUCUGAGAUUUACCUCCACUUCAGUAAUAAUGAAAAAUUUUUAGCAUUAGAAUGUGUUAUGUCAUUUGAAUUAAUUUUGAUUACACUUUGGCUUGGGAGAGGAAUUAUUUUAAAUAGACACUGGUACUUUUUGAACUUGAUAGCUAAAGAUUCUAAAAUGCAUGUUUUAUACUAAGUUUUAACCAGUCAGGAAAAUUUUAUGUAACCAGUGAUAGUUUAUUUUUUGUAUGAAUUUUGUUUAGGCUGCAAUGUUUAGCUUUUGUUAACUCCUCACUCUUGCUGUCUUAAGUUCAUUACUGUGUUUAAUGGCCUACUUGCCAAGAUAUUUAGCAUGUAAAAAGCAGGAUUUUGAUUAAAAAAAAAAAAAAAGGCUUCAUAUUGAAGCUGAGACUUACAAUAACAAGUUGAGUGGCAAGCCUGGUAUGCUGUGUCUUAUUGCCAGAAUCUUAGUAAAUGUAAUGUUUUAAAA